Molecule: ribosomal RNA, 194 nt
Filed under: uncultured eukaryote
Lineage: Eukaryota
Description: partial 18S ribosomal RNA
Rfam family: Eukaryotic small subunit ribosomal RNA
Source: RNAcentral
UGGUGGAGUGAUUUGUCUGGUUAAGUCCGAUAACGAACGAGACCUUCAUUUAUUAAAUAGUGAUGGUAAUAAGGCUGGAUCGCCCGUCUCCAGCAAUGGGUGGCGAGCGAGAACGCCAUAAAAUUAUUGCCAAAGAAAACUUCUUAGAGAGACAAUUGGCUUUUUCAAGCCAAAGGAAGCUGAAGGCAAAAUCA